Molecule: unclassified non-coding RNA, 329 nt
Filed under: soil metagenome
Description: partial contains 5.8S ribosomal RNA, internal transcribed spacer 2, and large subunit ribosomal RNA
Rfam family: 5.8S ribosomal RNA (bases 1-120)
Source: RNAcentral
GAUGAAGAACGCAGCGAAAUGCGAUAAGUAAUGUGAAUUGCAGAAUUCAGUGAAUCAUCGAAUCUUUGAACGCACAUUGCGCCCUCUGGUAUUCCGGGGGGCAUGACUGUUCGAGCGUCAUUAUAACCACUCAAGCUCUCGCUUGGUAUUGGAGUUCGCGAUCUCGCGGCUCCUAAAAUCAGUGGCGGUGCCUGUCGGCUCUACGCGUAGUAAUACUCCUCGCGAUUGAGUCCGGUAGGUUUACUUGCCAGCAACCCCCAAUUUUUACAGGUUGACCUCGGAUCAGGUAGGGAUACCCGCUGAACUUAAGCAUAUCAAUAAGCGGAGGA